ACGAACGCUGGCGGCGUGCUUAACCCAUGCCAGUCGAACGGUGAAGCGCCUUCCUUUUUGGUGGGUGUGGAUGAGUGGCGAACGGGUGAGUAACACGUGAGUAACCUGCCCCCUUCUUCUGGAUAACCGCAUGAAAGUGUGGCUAAUACGGGAUAUUCUGGGUCUGUCGCAUGAUGGGUCUGGGAAAGAUAUUGUUUCGGUGGGGGAUGGGCUCGCGGCCUAUCAGCUUGUUGGUGGGGUGAUGGCCUACCAAGGCGGUGACGGGUAGCCGGCCUGAGAGGGUGGACGGUCACACUGGGACUGAGACACGGCCCAGACUCCUACGGGAGGCAGCAGUGGGGAAUAUUGCACAAUGGGCGCAAGCCUGAUGCAGCGACGCCGCGGGAGGGAUGGAGGCCUUCGGGUUGUGAACCUCUUUCGCCAGUGAAGCAGGCCUGCCUCGUUUGUGGGUGGGUUGACGGUAGCUGGAUAAGAAGCGCCGGCUAACUACGUG
Molecule: ribosomal RNA, 493 nt
Filed under: uncultured bacterium
Lineage: Bacteria
Description: partial 16S ribosomal RNA
Rfam family: Bacterial small subunit ribosomal RNA
Source: RNAcentral